RNAcentral lists this non-coding RNA (46 nucleotides) under Schistosoma haematobium. Lineage: Eukaryota; Metazoa; Platyhelminthes; Trematoda; Strigeidida; Schistosomatidae. The record is from RNAcentral.
GCACUACUGAGGAGUCCCAUACUUGGACGAAACGGCCGUCCAGUGU